Molecule: small RNA, 1298 nt
Filed under: uncultured Hyphomicrobiales bacterium
Lineage: Bacteria; Pseudomonadati; Pseudomonadota; Alphaproteobacteria; Hyphomicrobiales
Description: bacterial SSU rRNA
Rfam family: Bacterial small subunit ribosomal RNA (bases 1-487)
Source: RNAcentral
AUGGCUGUCGUCAGCUCGUGUCGUGAGAUGUUGGGUUAAGUCCCGCAACGAGCGCAACCCUCGCCCUUAGUUGCCAUCAUUUAGUUGGGCACUCUAGGGGGGCUGCCGGUGAUAAGCCGAGAGGAAGGUGGGGAUGACGUCAAGUCCUCAUGGCCCUUACAAGCUGGGCUACACACGUGCUACAAUGGCGGUGACAAUGGGAUGCAAAGGGGCGACCCCGAGCAAAUCUCAAAAAGCCGUCUCAGUUCAGAUUGUACUCUGCAACUCGAGUACAUGAAGGUGGAAUCGCUAGUAAUCGCGGAUCAGAACGCUGCGGUGAAUACGUUCCCGGGCCUUGUACACACCGCCCGUCACACCAUGGGAGUUGGCUUUACCCGAAGGCGUUUCGCUAACCGCAAGGAGGCAGACGACCACGGUAGGGUCAGCGACUGGGGUGAAGUCGUAACAAGGUAGCCGUAGGGGAACCUGCGGCUGGAUCACCUCCUUUCUAAGGAUGAUCCUUCAAGGCGGGGCACUCUGCCCCAAUUUAUUGGAUCUCUUAGAUUAUAUCGGUCAGUCAGACCGAUUUUGCGGGACACCGCCAUCUUCGUUUCUCUUUCUUCUUGGACGAGAGCCCACGCGGCACUGCCGCAUGAUUGGGUUGUUGCAUGCAACGGCUCGGGCUUGUAGCUCAGUUGGUUAGAGCGCGCGCUUGAUAAGCGUGAGGUCGGAAGUUCAAGUCUUCCCAGGCCCACCAUCGCCGGCGCGUGCAAUUGGCCAUUGGGUCGAUCCGGUUUUGCGGCGACCGGCUUGCAUCAGCGCGGUUGCGCGACUGGCUCGGGGCCAUAGCUCAGUUGGGAGAGCGCGUGCUUUGCAAGCAUGAGGUCGUCGGUUCGAUCCCGUCUGGCUCCACCAGACGCGAGUAUCGGAGCAGUCGUCGUCCGCUAUAAGUUUGCGGCGUUGCAAUGUCUGCGCGCCGUUGGUUAAUUGACAUCGUGAAAAGGAAAUGCAUCUGGUCGGCGCCGACGUGUCAAAAGCGUUGGCGACGAGCAAAAUUUGUGGACGGAGCUUGACCGCACCGUUCUUGGAUGCAUUUGAAGCAAACUGGUCUUUAAAUACAUCGAGUCCAACGGUUUCAUAUAGGCGGAACCGACCGCUGCCGAGCGGUGGACAUCGAUAAUGAGAGCGAUCAAGUGUCAUAAGGGUAUUCGGUGAAUGCCUUGGCGCUGAGAGGCGAUGAAGGACGUGGUACGCUGCGAUAAGCCGUGGGGAGCUGCGAACAAGCUUUGAUCCGCGGAUUUCCGAAUGGGGAAACCCGG